UGGCACCCAACGUGGGGCUCGAAGCACGGAUCCUGGUCUGAAUGUCACCCAAUUGAGGGGCUGCUCUCUUCAGUGAGUGAAGAUUCGCAUCGUGAUCACCGCAGAAACACCCGACUGCAAUACAGAUCCGUAAGGUAAGGGAGGCGACCCAAUUCUGGGACAAACACUUAGUAAGCAUGAACUUUUUGUUCAAGGCCUAAAAGCCUCACUCAAGGCAUGAGGAACGCGGGUUAAGAAAAAAGAUUUAACUCAAUUUUUUAUGCUCCUGGAGGAUAUUUGCCCUU
Dipodomys ordii (Ord's kangaroo rat) is the source of this 284-nucleotide non-coding RNA. Lineage: Eukaryota; Metazoa; Chordata; Mammalia; Rodentia; Heteromyidae. The record is from Rfam.